UUAAAUACAGUGCUUUUGGAGAAUAGAUCUAAUGUUAUAAGAUACAGUGCUUGUGGAGUUGAGGUAAAUACAAAGAUUCUUUCAUUAUCAACCAAAACCAAAUAGAUCUAGCUUCAAUAGAAGUUUGUGUCCACUAUGAAUGAGUUUUCAGGGGAAGAGGCACAAGAAAACAAAUUCGGAGAGGCACAAUGAAUGUAGCUUAAGAGAUGUGAGAUUGGC
This 219-nucleotide long non-coding RNA is filed under the name Cicer arietinum (chickpea). RNAcentral's name for it is "long non-coding RNA (CARI_LNC002354)". Lineage: Eukaryota; Viridiplantae; Streptophyta; Magnoliopsida; Fabales; Fabaceae. The record is from RNAcentral.